Molecule: ribosomal RNA, 497 nt
Filed under: uncultured bacterium
Lineage: Bacteria
Description: partial 16S ribosomal RNA
Rfam family: Bacterial small subunit ribosomal RNA
Source: RNAcentral
GAUGAACGCUGGCGGCGUGCCUAAUACAUGCAAGUCGAGCGAACAGAUGAGGAGCUUGCUCCUCUGACGUUAGCGGCGGACGGGUGAGUAACACGUGGAUAACCUACCUAUAAGACUGGGAUAACUUCGGGAAACCGGAGCUAAUACCGGAUAAUAUAUUGAACCGCAUGGUUCGAUAGUGAAAGACGGUUUUGCUGUCACUUAUAGAUGGAUCCGCGCCGCAUUAGCUAGUUGGUAAGGUAACGGCUUACCAAGGCAACGAUGCGUAGCCGACCUGAGAGGGUGAUCGGCCACACUGGAACUGAGACACGGUCCAGACUCCUACGGGAGGCAGCAGUAGGGAAUAUUCCGCAAUGGGCGAAAGCCUGACGGAGCAACGCCGCGUGAGUGAUGAAGGUCUUCGGAUCGUAAAACUCUGUUAUUAGGGAAGAACAAAUGUGUAAGUAACUAUGCACGUCUUGACGGUACCUAAUCAGAAAGCCACGGCUAACUACGUG